Molecule: unclassified non-coding RNA, 392 nt
Filed under: Hevea brasiliensis (rubber tree)
Lineage: Eukaryota; Viridiplantae; Streptophyta; Magnoliopsida; Malpighiales; Euphorbiaceae
Source: RNAcentral
AAAAUUGCCAGUUGAUUGGUUAUGCCCCAAGGCGGAAUCUCAAGAACCAAAUUUCAUCGAGAACUGAAUGUUCUUUGAACUCAAAUAAGGAUGGACAGGGCUCUGCUAGAUGUGGAAAAAGAUCUCCAACAGAUGCAAUUAGUCCAAACCAGCAAAGUUCUAUUACUGGGAAUCAACGAUUUCCACCAGCUAAUGCAGUUAAUCAGAAUGCCCAAGCCUUUAAUAAUAUGGACUUGAAAUCUCCAGCAGAUGCAAUUAGUCCAAAUCAGCAAGGAUCUAUUACUGGGAAUCAACGAUUUCCACCAGCUAAUGCAGUUAAUCAGAAUGCCCAAGCCUUUAAUAAUAUGGACUUGAAAUCUCCAGCAGAUGCAAUUAGUCCAAAUCAGCAAGGA